UGAUACUUAUUAUUCUGGUUGAAAUUCCGCAAAUAUAGGUAGGUCGACUAAACCAAAUUUACUUGCACUUCAAAUGUUUAAGAGGCUAAAUUUGUGCGUGUGUCGUUCUUGGCAGGGAUCAGGGGGAGCAGAGUGGUGCACAACAGUGGUAUUACCAAAUCACAAAUCUUUUGCUUACAUCAGCAAGUGGACACCUUGUGAGCAAAACUCAAGCUUAGGUCCAGAUUUCUUCAAUCAGUGGUGCUUCAAUUAUGCGUAGGGAAAUUCAAUAUUCUAUUAUUCAACAAAACAAAGUUUCAACUGUGGUAUUGCAGUUUCAACUUGCGAUUUUCUCCAUACUGUAUAUAGUUUUUUUUUGAGAAUCCAUACUGUAUAUAGUCAACUUGCGAGUAAGUGCUUCUUUUAUUUGAAUCCGGAUUGGUGUGCCACUCUGCAAAAUCUGCAAAUAGGUUAUUUUGUUUGACUGAUAUCAAAUUAUUCAUAUGUUUUCACCAAUUAUUCAUGCUUUAUUACCAGUAAUCACAACAGCAAU
This 532-nucleotide long non-coding RNA is filed under the name Triticum aestivum (bread wheat). RNAcentral describes it as "long non-coding RNA (TAES_LNC015003)". The record is from RNAcentral. Lineage: Eukaryota; Viridiplantae; Streptophyta; Magnoliopsida; Poales; Poaceae.